Molecule: ribosomal RNA, 253 nt
Filed under: uncultured bacterium
Lineage: Bacteria
Description: partial 16S ribosomal RNA
Rfam family: Bacterial small subunit ribosomal RNA
Source: RNAcentral
UACGUAGGGGGCAAGCGUUGUCCGGAAUCAUUGGGCGUAAAGAGCGUGUAGGCGGCCCGGUAAGUCCGCUGUGAAAGUCGGGGGCUCAACCCUCGAAUGCCGGUGGAUACUGUCGGGCUAGAGUGCGGAAGAGGCGAGUGGAAUUCCUGGUGUAGCGGUGAAAUGCGCAGAUAUCAGGAGGAGCACCAAUUGCGAAGGCAGCUCGCUGGGACGUAACUGACGCUGAGACGCGAAAGCAUGGGGAGCGAACAGG